GACGUAGGGCGCGAGCGUUGUCCGGAUUUAUUGGGCGUAAAGAGCUCGUAGGCGGCUUGUCACGUCGGAUGUGAAAGCCCGGGCUUAACCCCGGGUCUGCAUUCGAUACGGGCUAGCUAGAGUGUGGUAGGGGAGAUCGGAAUUCCUGGUGUAGCGGUGAAAUGCGCAGAUAUCAGGAGGAACACCGGUGGCGAAGGCGGAUCUCUGGGCCAUUACUGACGCUGAGGAGCGAAAGCGUGGGGAGCGAACAGG
This 252-nucleotide ribosomal RNA is filed under the name uncultured bacterium. RNAcentral's name for it is "partial 16S ribosomal RNA". It matches the Rfam family "Bacterial small subunit ribosomal RNA", at positions 524 to 776 of the family's 1533-position model. The record is from RNAcentral.